UUCUCAUCCAAUGACAGGCCUCGUUCUAUGAUGACAUCAUCCCACAAGUUCCAGUGUUAAAAUUGGGCUCCCGAGUUCUUCGUCCUUUUCUACGGGGAAAUGUGUGUGAAGGAUGACCCUUCCCUUUCAGUCUGGAGACGUAGAGAAGGACAUCAUGUAAACCACGUUUUUGUCUUUAAAUCUAAACCAUUAACAAAUGAAAUGAAAUUAGUAUUAUCUGAAGGAAUGUACAAAUACCUGCGUAAAGACUAGAUAAUUUUACAGUAAAGUUAAACACUGGGAGUUUUUCUCAAGCACUCAGUAGGCUAGAGUAAUAGGUAGUAAUGCAGGAAGAAAGAUAAGGCACGAGAACCUUUUAAUACAGUAGGGCCAUCAUGUCACUCCCGAAGAAUAACGUCUAAAAUCCGAGAAGUGAACCUUUUGUGGAAAGUCAUGUGAAAAUCUACUAUUUUGUGAGCUACUUAAAAAUAGACAAAAGAGCUUAAAAUGGAGGUACCCUGAAUGUGUGGAUAGUGCUGCUCCCAGACCAUGGGUUUUAGAAUUAAGAACACAGUGCCACACACAAGAUACCACCCUGUGGAUUGUUGGCCAGAGAGAUCUCAGAGGAUUCUCAAAUAAUGCAAUUGUCAUUCCUCCUGGUUGGCCCCCCAAAACAGAUGGUAAGUCUCCGUUCCUGAAGAUACCACAUAUCUCAGUUACAGGGUACAGAGAAACCAUCGUAGAACAAAGCUGGGGGCUCCUUCCCUUCUAGUGACCAUUCAUUGUGCCAGGAGGUACACAGACUUCUGCUGGAAAAGCAGAGUAGUCAGUGGUCAUACCAAGCUCUAGAGCCAGUGUGAUAAGUUAGUGACCUGCCAGGCCAGGUUUGCCACUGAGGCAAUGCUGACAUGAGUGUUAUGGAGUAACCAACUGCUCUGCAAUCAGAUUUGAGGCCUCUACACAGGAAGGCAUGCACACAGGAUAUGUGAGCUUCCUCAAAACGGUAAAUGGAUGUGUUGUCCAACUGCUUUCUUUUGUACACCUAGACUAGAGCAGCUUCCCGCCUUGGCCAGAGAAUCUACUUUUUACAGAAGUCAACCAUUCGUGCAGAGACUCAUCUGGCCGGAGUAUGAAGGGUAAGUGAGAACUGUAUGCUCAGCCAUGAAUCAGAGAAGAAACGGCAGAAUGUAGGAACGAGUGAGGAGGAUUGCUGUAAACUGCCUUCUGGUUAUGACAGGUCUGUACUGAUCAUAAGCAAAGAGCAGCCAAGGACACCUGCACAAGACGCCUUCAGCAUCCACCAGGGAUGGGGAGCUGCCAUGACACCCAACCCCCUUUGUGAGAGUUGAUGGUUUCCAAUCGAGAGGGCAGCAUUUUCCUCAGUGUUGCAGCCACUGAUAAAUACAGUUGUGGCUAUUGAUUUAAUAUCCCACAAGACUCUGACUGGCUCUGGUUGGGAAGACACUAUAUGGUAAUAAUGCAAAUACCUCAAAUUCAAUAUUUUAAACAAAAAAAUGUACUGAGUGCACUGAAAGAGUGUCUCCUGGACUGCUGCCUGCAGCCUAAGGCGGUAGGUUUUAGUUUUGUCUAUUUACUUAUUACUCAUACAGAGGCUCAUGUGAAUAGCACUGCUUCAAACUCACUAUGUAGCUGGAAAUGACCUUGAGCUCCUAGUCCUUCUCCCCCAUCUCCUCGGUCCUGAGAUUUCCGGUACAUGCCAACAUGCCUGGGAAAAUGCAUAUCUGAAGACUUCAUGUCUUCAUGAUACUUCACCAAUCUAUUCAAUCGCCUGGUUGACUUUGCUAUAUAGUAAUUUAAAGGGUGUUUUUAUUUUAUGCACAAUGUGUAUAAAGUAAGAUUCUUAAUAAAUGACUCAGUAACACAGCACCACGAUCAAGAACAGAGGAUUCAUUCCUGACUCUUGACCUUUCUUCCAGAGGACUUGGGUUCGAUUCCCAGCAUCCACGUAUCAGCUCAGAACCACAAUCCAGAAAAUGGAAAACUCAAUCCAGAAAGUGAGAGAUUUCUUGCUUGGUUUGAAGUAGGUGAAUCCACUUCUAGUCUGGACCUAUGACGUGGGAAGACACACGCCAUUAACCCAGACCUUGAAGUGAGAAGACACGCCUUUAAUAUGGGCCACACCUUUUGCUGGACAUCUAUAUAAGGAGAGAGAAGAAGAAAGCUUUUGCUCUUUGCCUUUUUGCCCUCACCUUGCUAGCACGUCCAUCCCUUCACUGGCAGGAGAGCCUACGUGUUUGAGAUCCCAGCAUCUACUGAAGAGCAACUGAGGCAUCCCGCUUUGUGAACUGAACACUACUGGAUUCUUGGACUUUGCGUCCACAGCCAGCCAUUGUUGGAUUAGCUGGAUGGCAGCCUGCCUUACACAGAGAGAGGCAGCACCUUCUGCCCCACCCUGCUCAGUUCAGAAGACACUGGUAGCGUCAUUUAAGCACUGAAGCAAAUAACACAGCGUACUGCAAGUCAGAGGAGCUUAAGUGGGACUCCAACUAAUCUUUUUUAAGGCUCUGUGUCACUGCCACCUGGCCUUGAAUUUCUCAGGAUGACCUCCCCCAUUGCUGGCACAGGAGGCGCUCAGUCAAUACGCCCGAAUCCAGAUAAAGCACACCAAGCCAACCGGGU
Molecule: small RNA, 2619 nt
Filed under: Rattus norvegicus (Norway rat)
Lineage: Eukaryota; Metazoa; Chordata; Mammalia; Rodentia; Muridae
Description: uncharacterized LOC102554736
Source: RNAcentral